UUGAACGCUGGCGGCAUGCCUUACACAUGCAAGUCGAACGGCAGCACGGGAGCAAUCCUGGUGGCGAGUGGCGAACGGGUGAGUAAUACAUCGGAACGUGCCCAAUCGUGGGGGAUAACGCAGCGAAAGCUGUGCUAAUACCGCAUACGAUCUACGGAUGAAAGCAGGGGACCGCAAGGCCUUGCGCGAAUGGAGCGGCCGAUGGCAGAUUAGGUAGUUGGUGGGGUAAAGGCUCACCAAGCCAACGAUCUGUAGCUGGUCUGAGAGGACGACCAGCCACACUGGGACUGAGACACGGCCCAGACUCCUACGGGAGGCAGCAGUGGGGAAUUUUGGACAAUGGGCGCAAGCCUGAUCCAGCCAUGCCGCGUGCAGGAUGAAGGCCUUCGGGUUGUAAACUGCUUUUGUACGGAACGAAGCGGCCUUUUCUAAUAAAGAGGGCUAAUGACGGUACCGUAAGAAUAAGCACCGGCUAACUACGUG
Molecule: ribosomal RNA, 483 nt
Filed under: uncultured bacterium
Lineage: Bacteria
Description: partial 16S ribosomal RNA
Rfam family: Bacterial small subunit ribosomal RNA
Source: RNAcentral